GCCUGUUAUCAGCUUCAUGUGGUCUGAGGUGUGAAUAAAUAUGUGUCUGGCCCUGACAAGAGUCUACAUUCCAUCAUGAAGCAAAAUACUCCUGUUGAAGAUGACUACUACCAUCACACACAUGCCAACUUUCUGGUGACCCGGAAUGUUGGCUCUGUAGGUUCAGUUCGAGUACUCUUCUUUGCUGAGCUUAGCAACAAGAACGAUGGCGACCAGGAUAGCCAGCUUCUAUGCUGCCCUGUGGAGUUUCCACUACCAGGGGCUGAACCAGUGCGAUGCCUUUUCUGCGAGCAAGAAGGGAUCAGGAUUGUGCACCCGGCUAGUGGGGAGGGAUUCCAUGGGCACGAGGUGGAGUUUGGGAAGAUGGUUCGCGGGGAAGAUUUAUUCGAAAAUGUCGACUAUCCGGAGGAGUACGACAAUGAUCGCAUACUAACUUAUAGCGAAUAUGUUACGGACACUGUGGCCGAUGGACUCGAUGAGGACUGCAUGUACCUUGGUAGCGAUGACUUCACCAUCAAGGAAUCCGACGGUCAUGAGUCAGAUUUUUAUGGAGAGGAGUAGUAUAUAUAGUGACGGUGUUCUGAAAGGAGGUGAUAAAACCAAACUUCAGGAAACGGUCAAUCAAGGAGUCUUGCAUGUUGCUGAUGCCUGACGCUGUGCUGUAGUUUUUCUGCUCCUUUGAACGCUGUGGUCCUUUGGUUCUAGUUCUCUCUACUGCUUUGAACUCUAAUGUUGUGGUUGCAGGUGGUAGCAGGUUUUCGCCCCUUAGAGUGCUGCGAUGCCGAUCACUCAGAGCGUGUUUUCCCCCAACUUGCCGCCUCUCUUUUCCAGUUUGUUGCUCUUGUAAGAACUAAAUAUACAGGUUGAGCGAUUAAUGGAAAGGGGUUAGC
Long non-coding RNA from Hordeum vulgare subsp. vulgare (domesticated barley), 890 nucleotides. RefSeq lists it as uncharacterized. The record is from RefSeq and is a predicted model, not a curated record. NCBI's taxonomy places the organism in Eukaryota, Viridiplantae, Streptophyta, Magnoliopsida, Poales, Poaceae. The transcript has 3 exons.